UGGCUCUCGCAUCGAUGAAGAACGCAGCGAAAUGCGAUAAGUAAUGUGAAUUGCAGAAUUCAGUGAAUCAUCGAAUCUUUGAACGCACCUUGCGCUCCUUGGUAUUCCGAGGAGCAUGCCUGUUUGAGUGUCAUGGUAUUCUCAACUCUUACCUGUUUUGUGCAGGCUUGAGCUGGAUGUGGAGGCUUUUGCUGGUGCUUGACAUCGGCUCCUCUGAAAUGCAUUAGUGUGGACAUUUUCCAAGUGGCCCCUCAGUGUGAUAAUUGUCGACACUGUGGGCACAGGGAACUGUGAAGUCUGUGCUUCAAAUCGUCUCAUUGUGAGACAACCUUUGACAUCUGACCUCAAAUCAGGUAGGACUACCCGCUGA
Molecule: unclassified non-coding RNA, 370 nt
Filed under: uncultured fungus
Lineage: Eukaryota; Fungi
Description: partial contains 5.8S ribosomal RNA and internal transcribed spacer 2
Rfam family: 5.8S ribosomal RNA (bases 1-133)
Source: RNAcentral